RNAcentral lists this ribosomal RNA (205 nucleotides) under Pseudovibrio denitrificans. RNAcentral's name for it is "partial 16S ribosomal RNA". It matches the Rfam family "Bacterial small subunit ribosomal RNA", at positions 1175 to 1379 of the family's 1533-position model. The record is from RNAcentral. Lineage: Bacteria; Pseudomonadati; Pseudomonadota; Alphaproteobacteria; Hyphomicrobiales; Stappiaceae.
GGGGAUGACGUCAAGUCCUCAUGGCCCUUACGGGCUGGGCUACACACGUGCUACAAUGGCGGUGACAGUGGGCAGCGACCUCGCGAGAGGAAGCUAAAUCUCCAAAAGCCGUCUCAGUUCGGAUUGUUCUCUGCAACUCGAGAGCAUGAAGUUGGAAUCGCUAGUAAUCGCGUAACAGCAUGACGCGGUGAAUACGUUCCCGGGC